This 82-nucleotide transfer RNA is filed under the name Daphnia galeata. It matches the Rfam family "tRNA". Rfam says of the family: Transfer RNA (tRNA) molecules are approximately 80 nucleotides in length. Their secondary structure includes four short double-helical elements and three loops (D, anti-codon, and T loops). Further hydrogen bonds mediate the characteristic L-shaped molecular structure. tRNAs have two regions of fundamental functional importance: the anti-codon, which is responsible for specific mRNA codon recognition, and the 3' end, to which the tRNAs corresponding amino acid is attached (by aminoacyl-tRNA synthetases). tRNAs cope with the degeneracy of the genetic code in two manners: having more than one tRNA (with a specific anti-codon) for a particular amino acid; and 'wobble' base-pairing, i.e. permitting non-standard base-pairing at the 3rd anti-codon position. The record is from Rfam by way of RNAcentral. Lineage: Eukaryota; Metazoa; Arthropoda; Branchiopoda; Diplostraca; Daphniidae.
GACGAGGUGACCGAGCGGUCAAGGUGAUGGACUGCUAAUCCAUUGUGCUCUGCACGCGUGGGUUCGAAUCCCUCCCUUGUCC